UUAGAGGCAAACGGGUGGACCCGCAAUACGUCGACCCGGGGGAUUCAACCAGGCCGUGCGUUCGGGACGCGUGGGGGUUACGCGGAGCUGUAAAGCCCGUGCCUUUGCGCAGGUCUCCGGGCGGACUGGUGCACUUUCCUCGGGUUGAUUGCCACGACCGGCUCUCCGUGCGGCCACAAGCCUUUGCUGGGAAGGUGACCGUCGGCCUCCGCGCCGGCGGUGUUAUAGACCAGCUUGUUCGUUGAGCUCGUCGGAGGGCCGAGGAAGUGUUGCCGUUUCUCGUCCACCCUCCGGCCAUCCUUGCUCGUGCACGACUGGGGUGAACUGCUCGUCAGUGCUCUCCCGACCGCGAGCGUAGGAAGGGCUGGUACGGUGCGAGAAAGCUUCGGGCCAGUGGCGAAUCGGUCGGUCCUCCACCCGACC
Molecule: ribosomal RNA, 423 nt
Filed under: Lampsilis cardium
Lineage: Eukaryota; Metazoa; Mollusca; Bivalvia; Unionida; Unionidae
Description: partial 28S large subunit ribosomal RNA
Source: RNAcentral